RNAcentral lists this unclassified non-coding RNA (140 nucleotides) under soil metagenome. Its description in RNAcentral is "partial internal transcribed spacer 1". The record is from RNAcentral.
UCAAAACAGCGGACUUCGGCCCUUGCUGCACCCUUGUCUUUUGCGCACCGUAUUGUUUCCUCGGCGGGCUUGCCUGCCGGUUGGACAUUAUCAAAACCUUUUUGUAGUUGCAAUCAGCGUCAGAAAAACAAUAAUUAUUA